Molecule: ribosomal RNA, 326 nt
Filed under: uncultured bacterium
Lineage: Bacteria
Description: bacterial SSU rRNA
Rfam family: Bacterial small subunit ribosomal RNA
Source: RNAcentral
GACGAACGCUGGCGGCGUGCCUAACACAUGCAAGUCGAACGGGGUACCCCUGAAUGAGGCUUCGGCCGAAUGACGGGACUACCUAGUGGCGGACGGGCGAGUAACGCGUGAGCAACCUGCCUUUCAGAGGGGGAUAACGUUCUGAAAAGAACGCUAAUACCGCAUAACGCAGCGCUGUGGCAUCACAGUGUUGCCAAAGGAGCAAUCCGCUGAAAGAUGGGCUCGCGUCCAAUUAGCUAGUUGGCGGGGUAACGGCCCACCAAGGCGACGAUUGGUAGCCGAACUGAGAGGUUGAUCGGCCGCAUUGGGACUGAGACACGGCCCAG